Molecule: ribosomal RNA, 824 nt
Filed under: Saiva formosana
Lineage: Eukaryota; Metazoa; Arthropoda; Insecta; Hemiptera; Fulgoridae
Description: partial large subunit ribosomal RNA
Source: RNAcentral
AUUUUGGUUGUUUUGAAAUGAAAUUCGUUUUUUCCUAUAUCUGGUUACUCAAGAAUUUGAUUCAAUCAGGGAUUUUUAUUUGUUUAUUUAUUUUUUAAAUUCAUUUUAAAUUCUUAUAUUUAGGGGGAUAAGCUCUUUUUUUUUAUAUAAUUUUUUUAAUUUUUUUAUUUUUGUUGGAUUGAGAUCUUCCUUCAUUUUAAGUUCGUUAAAGAUUAAUUAUUAAUUUUUUUUUCAUUUAUUUUUUUAUUGAGUUUUAUUUUUAAUUUUUUUGGUUUUAAUAAUGAUUAAAUUAGUAAAUUUAAAAAUUUAAUUUAUGAACUAGGCAAAACUUAUUUCCGCCUGUUUAUCAAAAACAUGUCCUCCAGGUUCUAUUGGAGGUUUGACCUGCUCAAUGAAUUUUAAAUAGCCGCAGUAUUUUGACUGUGCUAAGGUAGCAUAAUAAUUAGUCUUUUAAUUGAGGUCUAGAAUGAAUGGUUAGACGAGAAAUAAACUUUAUUAUUUAAAUUUUAUUUGAAUUUUAUUUUUUAGUGAGAAAGCUAAGCUUUUAAAGAGGGACGAUAAGACCCUAUAGAUCUUUAUUUUUAUCCAUUUUUAUUUUUUAUAGUUUAUUUUAAGGUUUUUUUGGUUAUAAAUUUUGCUGGGGUGGUAAAUAAACUUUUUAUCUUUAUUUUUUUUUUACAUUUAUUUAUGUUGAUUUGAUCCUUUUUUUUGAUUAUAAGAUUAAGAUACCUUAGGGAUAACAGCGUUAUAGUUCUGGAGAGUUCAUAUUGAUAGAAUUGUUUGCGACCUCGAUGUUGGAUUAAAAAUUUCUGUGAGGCAGGUUU